Molecule: ribosomal RNA, 441 nt
Filed under: uncultured bacterium
Lineage: Bacteria
Description: partial 16S ribosomal RNA
Rfam family: Bacterial small subunit ribosomal RNA
Source: RNAcentral
AACGAACGCUGGCGGCAUGCCUAACACAUGCAAGUCGAACGAGAUCUUCGGGUCUAGUGCGCACGGGUGCGUAACGCGUGGGAAUCUGCCCUUUGGUUCGGAAUAACAGUCGGAAACGACUGCUAAUACCGGAUGAUGACGAAAGUCCAAAGAUUUAUCGCCAGAGGAUGAGCCCGCGUAGGAUUAGCUAGUUGGUGCGGUAAAGGCGCACCAAGGCUAUGACGGCUACCGGCUCUUAGCGGAGAGUCCGGCACAAUGGGACUGAGACACGGCCCAUACACCUACGGGUGGCAGCAGUUAGGAAUUUUGCGCAAUGGACGAAAGUCUGACGCAGCGAUACCGCGUGAAGGAUGAAGUCUCUCGGGAUGUAAACUUCUUUUAGAUAAUCAUGAAGAUUGUCAGAAUAAGCAGCUACAAACUAUGUGCCAGCAGCCGCGGUAA